This 100-nucleotide non-coding RNA is filed under the name Halamphora americana. The record is from RNAcentral. Lineage: Eukaryota; Bacillariophyta; Bacillariophyceae; Naviculales; Amphipleuraceae.
UGGAUAUGGUAUUUAAUAUAAUGUUACACAGGUUUAUCGUGUCAGGAUUGUAAAAUAGCAGCAUAAAACAUUCGUGUAAAUUAGUAUUAAAUCUAUAUCU